AGGGAGAGUACAGAGGACGCUUCACAAUAUGUGAUGGGAUUUCAUGACUCAAGAAUGAACCAAAGAGGUACAAAUGCUUGCGUUUUUGCCAGCUUCAAUUACCUUUUUCUGUCUCAUUCUUCCCCAUUAUCUACCCUAGCUCAUAGCACUUGUCGUAGGGGCGGCCUGGCCUUGUUCAACUCCAGCAAACAGGAACGUUAAGAACUCCUUGAUCGGAUUAGAUCAAGAGUGCAUUUAGCUCCCUGUUUAAUCUCUGGCUCAAAGCCAAAAAUGACAGAGCAAGCAAACAGGUGCAGAGGGAAAUCUGCUGUUGUGUGUGUUUGCCGGUGGCAUCCAGGAAUGUAUCUACCUGUGAAGGACGACAGCUGUGUGUACCCAUAUUUCAUCAUGAAUUUUCAUAGAAAUAUAGGAAACUGCUUUAUAGUGCAUCAGACCAUUGGUCCAUCUAAACAACUUGGGCCCAAAGUACUUUAAGGGCUUAUGCUCCACUUUGACUGAAAUCAUCUAAUGGGGCACUUCUGGCAGUUUCUUAUGCCCCUGAGGCUCAGUUGGCUUUCACCAGAGGCUGAGCCUUUGGUGUGGCCCUGUGGAAUUCCCUGCCACUAGAAGGUUUGGCAGGAAGCACAUCUUCGUUCUUUCAGGUGUCUUUCAUAAGCUUGUUUUGUGUUCUGACUUGCCAUGUCUUUUAUGAAAGUGAGGAUUAUUAAUUCAUAAAGAAAUAUGUGAAUGAAUAAAUACCUAGCUCAAUAUUGAAAGCCAACAGUGCCUCUGCAGAUUUUCAGGCAAGAUUCUCUCCAAGCCCUACCUGGAAAUGCCAUUGCAGGUUGAGUCGGGGACCUUCUAUAUGCAAGGCGGGUGCAGUGCUACUGAGCGAAUCCCUAAAAAUUAUUUAUAUCAAGAUCCAGGAAAUCACAAGGUUUUCUCCCUUGUUGGCAGCAACCAGUUGUCGUCUCUUGCUUUCCCCCUCCCACCUGACCGGCUUGGAUUUAUUAGCAGCUGGGUUUAUUUCUGACUGAAAAUGACAAAGGCUUCAAAUUGCAAUAUAGAUUUUGACCAAACUCCUACCAAACCUCCCUUGCUUUACUCCCUGACUGACGUCAGCUGAGGCCUUUUAUAUCAAGACCCUUCAUCUUGUGCUGAAUGCUAUUAAAUUAUAACGGGGUGGUGUGGGUUUUUGGUUUUUUCGUUUUGUUUUUGCUGACACACCACAAAGGCCUUCCACAUUAUUCUACAAGCAAUUUAAUCCUUCCAAAAUAGGGGAGGGAGGGUUGGGAGACAAAAAUGAAACAGCAGCAAUCUCAUUUCUGUGCUUCUAUUAAACCCCAGGAGGGACCAGCCUGUUUUGCUUUUAAACUCCUCUAACCAUCUGGUUUUGAUCUGCAUGCAAAUCAAUCAUUAGGUGCACUUAUUGGCUCGUUUGUUACAUUGCACCUUUGUUAUAUUGUCAGAUUAAUGGAGCAAACCUUCCCCAGCGUGAUCUAGUUUAGGAGCCAAAGUCACCAUGACGUUAAACCUAACAUGAGCCCUUGUGCAGUUGGUGGUGCAGACAACUGCAUUGGGACUGUCGCCCCUCUCUGAAUCAGACAUAGGCUUCCAUGGGGUAACAUCACUUAGGGUUACCAUACAUCCAGAAUUUCCCGGACAUAUCCAGAAUAUCGCCUUCAUCAGCAGUGUCCGAACGGAAUGUCUGGAAAAAGCCUUGCUGAUUUCCCCUUAAAAUAGCUCAAAAGUGGCUUCUUCUUUUUUGGGCAAUCUUGCCAACAACUUUUCUGUCCGGAUUUUCACUGUUUGAAAUAUGGCAACCCUAGCAUUGCUCCUCCUUCACUGUCUAACCCAGUGAUGGCCAAACUUGGCCCUCCAGCUGUUUUGGGACUACAGUUCCCAUCAUCCCUGACCACUGGUCCUGCAUAGCUGUCAAUUUACAGAUUUGAAAAUAAGGGACCACCAGCCUUGAAAAUAAGGGACCAGCAGCCAAAAUAAGGGACCUGCAGCCUCACCUGUUCCAGGCACUCCAGUCUUCCUGUCCUCCUGCAGUCUGGUCAAACUCAUGCUGGUAGCUUCGAGAACACUGUCCAACCAACUUUUUAACCAGAGGUUCAACUGAAUAGAAUCUGAAUCACAUGCACCACAAGGCCUAUGCAGCCUCAACUUAAGAUGGCUCCCCGGCCUGGCUUUGCACUGCAAAGUUUGCAGCAGCACGUGCAACAAAAUGGCGUCCAGCGUUCAAAAAACCCCUCAGCUUGCAUUAACUAGCCACACACAAGGCAUGCAAGCUCCACCCCCCAGUCAUUCUUAGACUUCUUAUUGGGUGAGCAACACAGCCAAAUAACACAGUUGGAGCCUCCCUCCUCUCUGGCCGGCAGGGAGGGAGGGAGAGGAGCUGCUUUCUUUGAAAUUUAAGGGACAUCAUUUAAGGGACAUCCAUCAAUAAGGGACAGCAGCGGGACAUGGCGCUGGAAUAAGGGACUGUCCCUUCAAAUAAGGGACACUUGACAGCUAUGGGUCCUGUUAGCUAGGGAUUGAAGGGGGCCAUUAGAAUAUUGUUCUCUAUAUGAUCCCAAAAACUGUUUAAGGCAUUUUCUCCUCUCUCAUAUGUUAUCCCAAAGGGGGGAGGUUUUUCCAAAGGGGGAAGGUUUUUCACCAUCCAGAAGAACAAGGCUUUUUAUUGCUUAGAUGUUACAGUGAAAAUAGGCCUAUCUCAGGAAUGUCUAGGCCUAGGCGGGUGAAAGAUAAGAGCAAGGUUGAAUAUGUGUUAUUCUGGCCCCAUACGGGGGAAAGACUGAAGACAAGGAGGGUAAUGCAGGAGACAAAGCCCCAUUUUAUUGCUAUCAGUAUAAAUCACAUGUUUUACAUUUGAACACGUGUCGAGGUUCAUGGCGUGGAGAGGCUGGUGCAGGAAGAAGGGGGCAAGCAAACCCAUAUAAGGACAUAGGAAGUUGCUAUGAUUUACGAUUUCCUAGAAAUCAGGUGGUAUUAUUCUGCAAAUGUAUAAAAAGGGCUGGCAAACCCAGAGAGGGGGGCAGGCAAUGAACUUUACCUUGUCUGUACCAUUAUUUUGUCAUGACAAAAUAAAAAUGAUUUUACUGCUGUCAAAUUGACUCUUUGAAGCGAAUUCUGAUACUCCGAAGGGAAGGAACUAAGAAAAGGUCUUUCAGGGAUGAUGAGAGUUGUAGUCCCAAAACAGCUGGAGGGCCACGUUUGGCCAUCACGGGUCUAACCUAAUACUCUCCACACGGUUUGGACUACAAUUUCCAUCAGCCCCCAGUGAGCAAUGUGCUGGCUUGCACUGAUGGGAGUUGUAGUCCUAAAAGUCUGGAGGGCAUCUGGUUGGCAAAGGUUGCCUUAGCCUAUGUUGGUGCAAUAGAAAAGGCAGAGGAAGGAGCAGGGGCGCCGGAAGAGGGGUGUAGGAUGUGUGGCCCACCCCAGAUGUAAUCCUUGAGGGGGGUGACCAAAUGGCACAUUGCGGGGGGGGGCACUUACUACAGGGCCUGGCCUGCAGCACACCCGAGCCAUGCGUCUUUCCUGGGAGUGACGUGGUGGCUUGGGGACCUGCGCUGCCCGAAACGGCAGCAUGGGGCUUGCAUCUGGCAGGCGGACUCCGUGGACCGCUCACUGCGCUGCCCCCCUUGGCGGAUCACCGCAGCACCCCCGUGCACAGAUCGCCCCGCCCCCGUGGGCGGUUUGCCCUGCUGCUCCAGGUGCCCCACUCCAGGUGUCGGAGCAGCUAGCUACGCCCCUGGGAAGGAGGAAGCUAGCAGAGUCCAUGCAAUAUCUUAUUUCAACUGCAAGAAGGCUCACACUUUUCUAUUUUUCCUAGAGAAAAAUGCUUAGAAUUAUAGAAGGGACCAUGAGGAUCAUCUAGUUCAACCCCCUGAAAUGCAGGAAUGGGAUGGGGCUUGAACCCUGGGAUUAAGAGUGUCAUGCUCUACUGACUGAGCUAUCCAAAAAUUUAUUUCUGUGGCAAACCUCAUAUAGGCAGCUCCCAGUCUAGUGUGUGAAUUGGAACAUAGGUGUUUUGUUUUUUUAUUGAGUUUAUAUCCUACCUUUUUCUCCAGGGGAGCCCAAGGUGGUGUACAGAGUUCUCCCUCUCCUUAUUUAAUCCCCACAAUUAGCUGAGAGGGUCACCCAGUGAGCUUCAUGCCAGAGUGUAGAUUUGAACCUUUAUGUCCCUAAAUUCAAUGCUCUCAAUUGUCCCUAAAUUCAAUGCUCUCGAUUUCACAUUUUUAUUUUUAUUUUUUGAUGCAACUCACGUCUCUGAACCCAAACCAAACUGCUUUCUUUUAAAAAUUAAAAAGCCCUCUUUUUAAGAAUGUGCAAAAUUAAAAGAGGGGCCGCUCCCUUACUUACAAGUAAGCUUUGUCAUGGCUAAUGUGGCAGCAGCACAUUUACUCAAUAAUAAUAAUAAUAAUAAUAAUAAUAAUAAUAAUUUAUUUAUACUCCACCCAUCUGGCUGGGUUUCCCCAGCCUGUCUGGGUGGCUCCCAACAGAAUUAAAAGCACAAUGAAACAUUAAACAUUAAAAACCUCACUAAACAGGGCUACCCUCUUCUUUGCCUCAUUCUGAAGAAGGAACAGGGGCUCCUUCCUCAGUCCAAGGCAUCCUGGAAGUGGUGCACUGUGAGAAUGCCUUGCCAUCACUACUUUUCCAGGGUGCUGGGACAUUCUGUGAAAAACACUUUAAAAGUUCCAAGUAGUUCAGAGCAAAACAGAGAAAAGGGGACUAAAAGUUAAGCAGAGAUAAGAGCCAGGAAGGGGGCAUCUGUGGCUUGUUUCACCUCAGGCGGCACCGUGCCUUGCACUGGUGCUGGGAAAUGAGAAGGCAUGCACUUGUGAAUGAACCCAUUCAACAUCAACACAGGCCAGAAAUGAAUCUAUCCAUCCUUUCCUGAUUGUGGUAUCCAACUAAAACUCAAGGGUUUCCUCUUGUGCAAUGGGACUGCCUUCCUCUUUCCUCUGCAUUCCCCCAAAUCUGUCCUAGGGGUUGCCUCAAGCCUCCAGAGCAGAACUGGGAAGGGCAUGGGGCACAUGAGGGGCAGAGGGAGGAAAGGGAGGAGAGUUAUUUUGCACAAGCAUAAAUUCUUGCACUGAUGGGACACUUUAGUUGGAUACCGCUAUUUAGUUCCCAUCCUGUUUGCACUUCAUACCUUGCAAUAUUAGGGUUGCCAGGUCAAGAGAAUCCAGGCCCUAAGAUUUCAAGGUCCAGACCUCAGACCUAAGGAGUGGCCGCUGGUGAAGCUAUGGGGGGCAGGCCACUGGUGAUGUCAUGGGAUGAGUCCUGGAGACAGAAGUUAGUUGGGAGAGAAGAGCGAAGAAGGACAGCCCAGCCCCCGCCCCCCGCAAGUGUCUAUGCUAUAAUUUGAAGCCAGCCUUUCACUUGGAGAUCUGGCAGCCUUAUACAAAAUACAUGUGCCUCCCAACAGGGAGUUGAUCUGUGUCUAAGAGUGAAGUAAGAAACAUCUGUCAUGUUUAGGAGGGAGAACUUCGAAGUCAUAUGAGCAUCCAUGCUGUUCAUGGGAAAUCUAUUCCCUCUCAUUCUUACAGAUCCUACUACAAUAUUUUGAUGGGAGUGGAGAGAGAUGAGGGAAGGAACAGCACAUCUUGGGACUUGAUACGCACAAGAAAUCAGUUCCUCAUCAAAGCAGCUGCAUUGGUUUGAAGGGCUACUCCUCUGAUAUAUAAACUGCCAUUGCUGCUGAUUUACAUAGAUAAUAAAAAUGACACACCCACUUAAAUUCCUAAUCAUAUCUUUUUUUAAAGAAACAACAACAACAGCUAAGAUACAAGAAGCUUCUCUGUGGAAAAAGCAAGUCCUGGGGAUGUUCUGUUUAGUAUGUUCUCCACUUCCAUGAUGGCUAACAUGUUCUAGGGUUGCUUUCCUUUGGAUGAGGGAGGGAGGGAGCACACUGGAGAUGUGCAGUGUUUUUGAAAUAUUUACAUGCCAUAAACAGAGCAGAAGUGAAAGCAAAUUACACGCGUGCUCCUACAAGGCUUAGGUGUAGGCCACGUUCAGGCCAUACACUUAAAGCACUAUGGGAACUGUAGUUUGUUAGGGGUGCUGAGAGUUGCUAGAAGACACACACACUCCAAACGCAUUCCUCUCCCAGAGCUACUAUUCCCAGAAUUCUCAGGGAAGAGAGAUUGACUGUUAAACCAGCUCUUGGAGGGAAAUAGCAGUUUCCCAAGGAUUUUCAGCACCCUUAACAAACUACAGCUCCCAGGAUUCCUUGGGGGAAGCCAUGACUGUUUACUGUAGUAUUAUAACACUUUAAACGAAUGGUGUGAAUGUACCCUACUUCAUGCCAGAUCUCCAGAGUGAGGCCUUGUUCCCCUAAGGUGUUUUCAGGCUUCAGUCGUCUCAAUACUCCUCUCCGGUUCUACAUCAGCCAAACUGUGCAUGGCUCUCUCUUUGCAUGCAUACUUGCCCCCAGCUCCUAAUGCGGCCAUGUUAGGGAGAGGGUUGCCUUCCCAAGGCACUGAUAGCCAUCUCCUUCAAAAACUGUCAAGAGAGAUCUUGACCUGUCUCUAAACCCAGGGAAGUGCUGCAGUUCCUUGGAUGUAAUCUGUUGAUGUGAAUAGCAUGUUGGGCUAGGAGGACAGAGCCCCUUCUCUCCCUGCUCUCUCUCUUUCUGACAUCCCAUAACAAUAUCAGAAGAGAGCUGUAUCAGGCCAGUGGCCCAUCUAGUCCAGCAUCCUUUUCUCACAGUACCCAAUCAGAUGUCUGUGGCAAGUCUGCGAGCUGGACCUGAGAACAAAAGCAAACUUCCCCACUUGGGAUUCCUGGAGACAGUAUUCUGACAGUGGGGGUGGAACAAAGUCACCUUGACUAGUAGCCACCAACACAACCAAAACAAAGGAGAAAGUCUCCUAUAAUUUCCUCCAUGAAUUUGUCUCAUCCCUUUUUAAAAGCCAUUCAUUCUGGUGGCCCACACAGUAGGAGAAAUGUCCCUAAUUCAAAUUUGCAAUGUGUGAACAAACACUUUCUGAAUUUUCCAACACCUAGCUACAUUGAAUGUUGAAUGCUACUGUUAUGAGAGAGGGAAAAGAACGUAAUGCCCAUGAAAUGCACGGGGGGGGGGAAACACCACUUAUCCUUAUUCAAUGAUGCUACAAGAUCAGAAGAGCGUCUUGGACUUAAGAACAGAAUGUCCUGGAGUUCUUCCUUUAGAAAUGCUCCAAGGCAUUCCUUGCUUCUCUCUCCUGCCUGCUCCGUUUUAACUCAGCCGUAUAAAUGAACAAUUAAAGCUGACUUUUUUAUUUUUAUUUUUUAAAAGAAAAAGUUAGUGUGACAUUCAAAUAAAGUGCCCACCCAAGUUGAAAAAGACGCUGGGCUCAGAUUCUUCCUACCCCGAAAGUUCUGAGAAUAUUAAUAACUGAAAGACUCCCAAAAGGCCCAGAAGAAAGUUUGCAGGCAUGUAUUUAAAAAUUAAUUUUAAAGUUAUAGAGAAAAUGGUUGAUACCCCACCAAAUAAAAAAAUAAAUCACCCACUCGGUGUCAUAGGAACAAAGUACUACCUCCUUUCUGACACAGAAUUCUUUUUUUAAAAAAGUGAAGUGAGCUCUAAGUUAAUAGCAAACCCUUUUUUUGCUUGCAAUGAAACUUGAAGAAUUUCCAUGAAAAAUAUCAGAAAUGUCUCUCUUUGUUUCGUUUUGCAGAAAACUUUGACCAUUCCACCCCUCAUUUGUAACUAGGGGUGCUGGAGAAUUAUGGCCUGAACAGAAAAUGUAUUUUCCAGAGCUCAUCUUUUCGUCCCAUGUUCAAGAUGGAAAUCAGUUUGGUGAAAAUGAUCAGUACAGUGGUACCUCUGGUUACGAAUGUUUCUGGUUAUGAAUGCUUUAGGUUAUGAGCUUCGCUAACCUGGAAGUAGCUGCUCCUGGUUGCAAACUUUGCCCCAGGAUGCAAACGGAAAUCAAGUGCCAGAGGCAGACGGGCAGUGGGAGGCCCCAUUAGCAAAAGCGCACCUCGGGAUAAGAACGGCUUCAGCUUAAGAACGGACCUCCUGAAUGAACUAAGUUCAUAACCAGAGAUACCACUGUACUAACAGUUGCUGAUGUUGCUUUCAGAGUGCAAAAAAGAAGCAAUUAAUUACUCCCCACCCCCCGGUUGGAUUGUUCUUUCCUUUGCACUGAAGUGAAUGGUCUGGAAUGAGAGAAUAGCAAUGUAAUCCACCCAAUCAAAUUAUGUAAAUUAAGUAACAAAAUUUCAUCACAGUCAACUGCAAGUCGGUUAACAUAGUCUUGGGUGGUGUGCAAAUUGCAGCGGAAUGGAAACGCUGCUAUGUGCAACAAAUGCAGGGCAGAACAGAAAAGAGUGCCUUCUCACACUGCUACCUCCUUCUGCCACAUUGAGAAGCCUUCAAAUUAGCAGAACAGACGUCUUAUUCCCAUCACAUUAUCAUAUUUCUGCUCUUCCUUCCCCCUGAAAAAAAUCAGAUCCCUCAGGAGAAUAUUUUCUUCUCUCUCCAUCAAAAAAAUCCCCCUCAAACAGAAUUUGACAUGUCAGAGUCUAAAUUGGACUUUGCUCAGAAUAAAAUACAUUCAGAAUUACAUAACACAGAUGUAAAAAGAGGUUUAGGGGCGGGGAAAAUCAAUGAAUCAAACUAGAUCAAAUCUCUCUCCCCCUCUCUUCUACAGCAUGACGGCAAGGAGGCUUUCGAUGAGGGGUUGAAUUAACAGGAGAGUGAAUCUGUUCACCACGAAACACAACUGAAGGAGAAUUUCAUUCAGCUCUAUCAUUGCCAAUAUGUGGCUCUUGUGCUUACAGGAUGGGGGAAAGAAUGUUGCUUUCAGCCCGACUGCACUAUUGACUCAAAAGCAGGGGAGGGGGUCCACUUUUUAGAGCAGAAAGGGUUUGCAGCAAGGCAAUCUCAUUUGAGGGCCUGGAGUAUCCACAAUCUGACCUGGGAUUUUAAAGAUUCUGUACAUAAUGCUGAGGACUAGCAACUUGAUGUUCAUAUAUCACACACAGAGAGAUAGAUAUACAGAGAUAUAAUUUAGGAGGCAGUUCUCUCAAUACGCUUCAUUGUUAAUCCAUCCCCGAUACAGCAAAUGCCUUAAACGACUUCAUACCAUGAAAGGAGCCGGACUUUUAUGUGCGGAUAAGAGCUUGCAACUGACCCAGCCCCAUCUAUUCUUCUGAGAUCUGAUAUCACAACCAAAGCAAGUCAAUUCUGCAGGUCCAAAACAUAUCCGGGCACAGACAUUCGUUUUGUAAGAAGUUAAUGGAUUUUGCAAGUGCAAUUAGCUUUAAUCUAGAUGUCAGAGCCUGCCUGUCAUGCAACCCUAGGGCCCGUGACAUUACAAAGGGAAGGCUGGUGCCCUUAGCACCCAUUAUGAGAUCAUUAAAUAAUUUGUGAAUGUCAGCCUGGAAUGGUAAAAAUCUCAUGAAAGAGGGGUGGCAAUAUAAUAAAGGAGAACAGAGGGAUGGGUGUUGUCCACCUCCCCUAGUUGUCUCCUUCCUGGACGAAAUCCAUUGCAAUCCUCUGGUCAGCGUGAGGGUCUGUUCCAUUGGUGAACAGAGGCACAGAUGUGGCACUUAGGGUGCAUUCAGGAGGGGGCUUAUUUUGCUGAUUAUAAUGGUGGCAUUUACGCCCCACUUUCUAACAUUCAUUUCACACUGCAGUAGAAUACUAAACAAUGUUGAUUUACAGUUAGGGUUUAUCCACCCUUACUUUUUGCCUUGCUCUUUGCAGACACAGGUCCACACUUAAAAGUACCAUGUCCAAGUGUUUGUUUAAUUUUAAGGUUUUUUGUCUCGGAGCUUUCCCCAUGAAAACCUACUCUUUAGCAGUCAGUUGAAGCAAAUGUCAAUUUGAGUUUUAAGUGGAUUGCUCUUUACUCUAUUACAGGCCAACAUGUGGAAUAUACCCCAAGUUUGGGACUGUUAAUUAUUUUUAAAGAAGGGCACUCUGACCAUUGUUAUAAAGAACUGUGUAAUUACUUUUCUUUCAGUAGCAUCAUACCUUCUAGUGGUGCAGAAUUGGAAAGAACUGGAACAUCUGUGUAUCUCUUGUUGGAAACAAAAUGUACUGUGUAUUGCUGUUUCAGAAAAAAUUAACAAAGAGAUUACAUGCAUUGAAUAUGAUGUAGACAAUUUUGUUGAAAUAUGGCAUUCCUUUUAUAAAAUACUUUACUGAUAACCUUGAAAAAUGGAAACUAUUGAAAUCACAGGUUGGAUUUCAGCAAAUUUAACUGGUUUGACCCUUCCUGGAGAGGGAAGGAGAGUUGGGAUUUUAUUUUCAUAUUUUGUAGUCUGUACUAAGGAGAAACAUACCUCUCGUGAGAUUAAACAGUCUUAAAUUUCAAGAAAAAGAACCUGCAAGCAUCAGAUCCCUUGGAAAACCCUUGCAGGAGCAGACCACUGGAGAGCACAUGAGCACUACUUACAGAAAACGGGGGUUCCCAAGCUGUGACCCUUGUCACGAGCAGUGAUGUUACAAACACAUGCAUCCCUAUGGAAGUUUGGAAAGUAUGUGUGUCUAUGGCUUGGAAUUUCUGCUGUGUAAUCAGGUGAGUUGUACUCAGAGUAGACCUGAUAGAAUUAAAAGAUCUAAGGUCACAGCCACAUUAUACAUUUAAAGCGUAUAAUAGUACCUCAGGUUAAGAGCUUUGCUUCAGGAUGAGAACAGAAAUCGUGUGGCGGUGGCGGCACAGCAGCAGCGGGAGGCCCCAUUAGCUAAAGUGGUACCUCAGGUUAAGAACAGUUUCAGGUUAAGAACGGACCUCCAGAACGAAUUAAGUUCUUAACCCGAGGUACCACUGUAGUGUGUUAGGGGUGCUGGAAAAUGUAGCUGUGGGUGGAGUCUCCUAACAACUCUCUGUUCCCUUAGCAAACUGUGGCUCCCAAGAUUCUUCAGAGUUGAAGCCAUGGCUGUUAAAGCGAUAUAAUAGUGUUUUCUCUGUACCAUGUGAAUAUGACCUAUGUCAGCCAUUCCCAUUAAUUUAAGAAGUCUAGUCCAAGUAUGUUUAACCAUGGGUACAGCCCUCUGACUUUGUCCCAGGUUCCCUUUCCCUUCCUCACUCCAACAGCUGGGAAUAGUAUCUGACACUGCUCUUUGGAGAUGUUGCCUCAGGCGCUAUCACAUGGCUUACCCAUCUGAUGGGCUAUCCACACUGCCUUGACUUUUGUGAUGUAACUCCAGAUUGCUUUCCAGCCCAGAGGAAUGUAUUGCUGCACUUUCAGGCUCAUUUGUUUCCUAAGCUGCUUCCCAAUGUGUUCAAAUCAAUAAGCAAAACAUUCUUCCCAUCACAACUUGUGAUGAUGCUAUGGGUGGUGGUGUCGAAAACAUGCUUCGCCUGCUUACAAAUCAAGGGCAGAAACAUCCUACCUGUCCAUCCCAAGCAUUUUCUUGUUCACUUUAUUAAGGCAACCUCAGAUGGAGGGGGGGGGGGUAGAAAUAUAGGACAGCAACCAAUAACAUAUCUAUGUUCAUUAUAUGCAAGCUGAAGUUACUAAAACAGCUAUUCAACUGAUAGUAGACAAAAAUGUCUUCCAAAGUCGCUAUUGGCUUUAAGGCACUAUUGCAGAAACCCAUUUCUCUCUCCAGUGUGCCCAUCGUAUACUCUCAUGCUGGCAUUCAUCAUCCAGUUAAGAUGAAUUAUUGAAUUGCCGAAAGAAAAUUAAAGUGAAAAGUGGAUAGUGAUACUUUCUGGUGCCCCUACAUGCCACCCUUAAUCGUACAUUAUACAAACCCAUAAAAAAUUAAAAGUGACCGUGUCUACACAAUUACACCUAACUUGGCAGAGAGGAAUUGAAAUGCCAAAUGAAAUAAAUCGCGUCAUAUCUGAGGCUUAUCGCACAUAGAUAGUCAUGUAUAUAUAAUGAUAAAAUCCUCUCUCUGCUAAGAGGCACAAGGAGAAGCCUUCAUUUUUUGAAGCAAAGAACCUCAACUUCUGCAACGCAAGGUGUACAAUUUUUAUUUAUUGCUUUUUUAUCAUCUGCAGGAGCUAGCAUGGUUUCAUGUCUUUCCUGGGGCUGUAAUUUGCCUCCAUUCUUUGUUAUGCACAGCAGACACAAAGCGUUCUUACACUUAUUUAUUUAUUUCCACUUACCUUCCCAGCUCUUAGCAUAUUACAUGCAUUAAACUCAAGCAGAACACUAUCAAAUUACAGCCAGCAAAUGAUGAAGAAAGGAACAGAACAUCUCUGGGAAUGGAGAAACCACUGCCAGUCUGUACUUGUGAUUUAAAAAUAAAAUAAUACAAAACAAUCUUCUCCAAAAAGAAAUACCUGCCCGCAGACUGUCUCGCCAGAUAAACGAGUCCCUUGGGCCUUAUCCGGCCCGUGGGCCUUAGUUUGGGGACCCCUGCUCUAGUUAUCUCCCGCUUGGACUACUGCAAUGCGCUCUAUGUGGGGCUACCUUUGAAGGUGACCCAGAAACUACAACUAACCCAGAAUGCGGCAGCUAGACUGGUGACUGGGAACAGCCGCUGAGACCACAUAACACCGGUCUUGAAAGACCUACAUUGGAUCCCAGUACAUUUCCGAGCACAAUUCAAAGUAUUGGUGCUGACCUUUAAAGCCCUAAAUGGCCUCGGUCCUGUAUACCUGAAGGAGCAUCUCCAACCCCAUCAUUCAGCCUGGACUUUGAGGUCCAGCUCCAAGGGCCUUCUGGCGGUUCCCUCCCUGCGAGAAGUGAGGUUACAAGGAACCAGGCAAAGGGCCUUCUCAGUAGUCACACCUGUCCUGUGGAACGCCCUACCAUCAGAUGUCAAAAAGAUAAACAACUAUCUGACUUUUAGAAGACAUCUGAAGGCAGCCCUGUCUAGGGAAGCUUUUAUUAUCUGAUGAAUUAUUAUAUUUUAAUGUUUUGUUGGAAGUAGCCCAGAGUGGCUGGGGAAACCCAGCUAGAUGGGAGGGGGGUUAUAAAUAAUAAAUUAUUAUUGUUAUUACUAUUAUAGGAACACAGGAAACUUCCUUGCACUGAGGCAGUCUGCUUGUCCAUCUGGGUAUUGUCAACACGGACUGACGAUGGCUUUCCAAGGUUUCAGAUAGCCAUACCUAGAGCUGCCAGAGAUUGACCCUGGGAUCGGUGGCAGACUUUGGGCUCUCAAAUUUCAGCAGCGGCACCCUGUGUGAUGCUAAAAUUCUGUGUCCCCUUACCUCUCACACAACAUUUUCUACAGCAUUGUUUUGGCACUCCCUGCAACACAGUGCCCAGUGCAGCCGGUCAUGCUACCCUAAAACUGCCUCUGCUGGGACCUUCUGCAUGCAAAGGUGAUGCUCUAAUAUUGAGCUUCAGCCACUACCUUCAAAAAUCUUGCCAUGGGUGUAAUGCAAUUUAGCAAGCAUGACAUCAUGUUCCAAGCUAGCUCAUGUUUCCACUUGGGCUGAGAGUGCAGUCAUGUGCAGGAGAGGUGUGUUACAGGGAAUAUAAUCACACCACCUUUCCAAAGAUGGAAUUACUACUCUGUGAAGAAAGGCUGCAGCAUUUGAGUGUUUAGUUCAGAGAAAAAUAUAAGAUGUGACAUGAUGGAAACUUAUAAAAUGAUGCAAGACUUGGAUAAAGUGGAUAAAAAGAUGCUUUUCUCCCUCUUAUAACACCAGAAGUUGUGGACAUCCAAUGAACUGAACGUCGGAAGAUUCAGGACUGAUAAAAGAACCUCCUUCUUCACCCAGCACCUUGUUAAACUAUGGAACUCCCUUCUACAGAAGGCAGUGAUGGACACUAACCUGGAUGGCAUUAAAAGAGGAUCAGACAAGUUCAUGGAGGAGAAGGCUAUCAAUGACUACUGGCUACAAUGACUAUGCUAUCCAUCUAUGGAUGGAAGCAAUAAUGCUUCUGAGUUGGUGAAAACCACAGGAGGUGAGAGUGCUGUUGUGCUCAAACCCUACUAGAGGGCUUUCCGCAGGCAUCUAGAUGGUCACCAUGAUAACUGUAUUCUGGAC
RNAcentral lists this long non-coding RNA (13883 nucleotides) under Podarcis lilfordi (Lilford's wall lizard). Lineage: Eukaryota; Metazoa; Chordata; Lepidosauria; Squamata; Lacertidae. The record is from RNAcentral.